Molecule: long non-coding RNA, 3884 nt
Filed under: Homo sapiens (human)
Lineage: Eukaryota; Metazoa; Chordata; Mammalia; Primates; Hominidae
Description: HSALNT0239697
Source: RNAcentral
CAGGAGGGCCUGGCAAAGAGAAAGCCUCAAUGAUGUUAACUGUCAUCGUGAUGAUUGUUUUGGGGACCUCUCUGCUUGCCCUGCUGCCUGGACGGCAUUUUCCAUUCAUGGCGGGGGAUUUAUUGUUAUGUUAAUUUGCAUUUGUUCUCCCCUCCAAGUCCUAUGUUGAACAAAUGUGGGAAGGGCAUUGGGAGGUGACCAAUCAGCAGUUUGUGCCUCAUGUUGGAUGAGAUUCUCCACCCACUGUGUGAAGUUGGGAAUGUUAGUUCAUGAGUCUAGGUUUCUUUAUCUGUGAAAUGGGAAGAGACCUCAUGGUGCUUUUGUGAAGACCGAGUGAGAGAAUGUGUAUACAAUGUCAGUACCAAUAAUAUUUAUGGGCUGAUUACUGACUGGCAGGUGAGUGAUUUGUCUGAAAUGGAAGGAGUGGUCCCAAUAGGAAGGCUUCCUGGGGGCAGCCAACCUGAGCUCCCAGGCCCCACACAGGCUCUGACACCAUGGAGGCAUGCUCAGAGGCAGCUUCACCUACCCACUGUUCCCCUGGGCCUGGACCACACUGAGGAAGCGCUGGCUCCAAGGGGUCCCUGGCUUGAUUGAGGUCACAGCCCUGGGAGUGGCCUCCAUCCUUGCCCAAAACCAGCAGGGCUGGAGGGGAACCUGGUAUAGUGGGGCUUAAAUCACAGCAGUGCUGACUAGGUUUUAAGUAAGAUUUCCUUCUAAGUAAGUAAUUCUGUUUCUUAGAAGGAGGAGGGACCCCAGAGCCAUGCAAGCAGCUCAUCGUGUUUAAGCCUUCCGUCCCUCCUCCUCCAUCCCUCCUUGCGCUAAGGCCCUGCAGCUGUGGAAACUGUGGCUCAGCCCAGGCUGUGUCAGCUUUGGGACUGGGUUUGGAGGAGAUGGAAGAAAGGUUUCUGAAGCCAAGUCCUUCUCCAGGAGCACUCUGGAAGCUGCUGUGCCUCUCUCUCUUCCCUCCCUCUCUUCCCUGCUGCUUUUACUCAUUCAUUCAUUUGUUCCUUCAUUCACAGAGCCUUCUCUGACUCAUCUCCUCACUCAGUCACUUGUCCAUCCAUCCUCCCAUCAUGCCCUCGGCAUUCACUGACCACUUACCAGGUGUCAGCUGACUUCUAGCUCCUGGGGCAGCAUCAAUGAAUCAGCGAGUGCACUUGCGGUUCACAAUGUGCUGUCCUGUUCAUGGUCCCCUGUGCCCUGCACAUCAGCUCUUAGAGGCAGGCAGUCCAGGUUCAAGUCCAUCCUGAUUCCCAAGUAUAAGCUCUUUCCACCACACCACACUGUUCUCUGAUGGGUCUGCCUCUGUGGUGUCAUUGGAUUCAUCUUUCUGUUCCCUCCCCCAUGCCUUGUUCUGGCCUACUUCUGCCUUUACUGCCUUUCCUGAUAGCCUCCUCCUAACUGCCCUUGCCCUUUCCUAAUCUGUCUUAUGUGUGGCUGCCAGACUAUUGUUCCAGUCUGACUAUGACAUUGUCCUGCUCAAAAACCUUUAAUGGCUCCCCAUUGCUUGCCAAAUAAAGCCCAAACUUUUAAUCUUGGCAUCCAAGGCACUCAACUUGUUGUCUUUAAUUGAUUUCUCUGGUCUUUUGUUUGUCUUUUCCCAUUCAUGCACACUACCCUUCAGAAAAAUGGGAUCAUUUUCUCCUGCUAACAAAAUCAUUGGAUUUCCUACCAAAACACCUGAGGUGUUUGCUUAUGCAUUUUCCUCUGCUUGUGAUGUUCACCCUGCCAUGGCCACACCGUGUCCACAGGUCCAAAUCCUGCCCAUAUGAAAGGUCAUGUUUAAGUGCCACUUGCUCCUGCCUCUCCCCCAGUUGGAGCCAUCUCUCUGUUCUCUGGGUUCCCAAAGUACUUGAGCCUCACAGCAUGGCUAUUUAUGGACAUGCCUUGUUCCCUCUUCUAGACUGGGAGUUCCUUUGGGGUAGGGUCCCUGGCCUGGUCAUUUCUGCAUCCUUGAGCCCAUGGACAAAGCUGUGCAUGCAGCAGUUAUUUGAUUAUUUCUGUGCUCUUAGUCUUCCACCGCCCAGAGAUACUCCUCUCCCAGAAAGGCAGCUGUGGGGGCAGUGAAGGUGGGUGGCUGGUGGCCUCAAUUCUGGGCAGAUAGACCUAGGCUGACUCCAUAACUCGCUGUGACAUUGGGUAAUUUACUUAACUGCUCCAACCUCAGUUGCCCCAUCUGUAUAAAGGCAGAUAUUGAUAUUGGUGCUUUCAUCAUCUUAUUGAGAGGAUGGUGUGGGAGAAUGCGUAUCCCCUAAACAUAGCACCUGCCACUCUCAAUAAACAUUAGUACUUGUUAUCAGUUCUAAUCCCAUCAUUAGCAGCUCUGCAGCCUUGGCAAAUAAAUUCAGUUUCUUGAGACUUGACUUUCUCAUCUGUAAAAUGGCAAUAACAAUCUCUGCUGGCCCAGCUUGAGAUGUCAUUGAGAAGAUGAAAUGAGAUGAUAGAUAUUGUGUGAGUCAAAGGCUGUGAAUGGCAGAGUCCCUGCUCAAUUAUGUUUAAUGAAGAAAUAGGAAAUUCAUAGGCUCAUAUCACUUGAUCAUAGGAGGGCUGAAGCCAGCGGAGCUAGGCACCUGCUUUUUGUCUCUCAUCUCUGUCUCUUUGUGCAUGACUUCAUCUUUGCCAUGAGAAAGGCUGGAGGCAUGCUCACAGGCAGCUCCACCUACCCGCUGUCCUCAUGUCUGAACAGGAAAGAAGCCUCCUCACCAGUCUCAGGAAGAAAAAUCCUAGAGAAGGCUCUGAUUAGACCAACAUGGUCACAUGGCCACCUGUGUAGCAGGAGAGAAAAGGAACACACUGUACGAGAGAGGAGAAGCAGUUCUCUAAGCAGAAGGGAGCUGUUUGUUACUAGAUGAAGGAGACAGAGCACUGGGCAGACAAGUGGAACAGAUGUCCCCUCCAGGGAAAGACCUUGAAUUUCUCCCUUGGACUCUGCUCCUCUCCUAGAGCCUCCUUCCAGUUUGGAAAAAGUUCUCCACUCCCAGUUUGGGUGUAAGGCCUUCACUUACACCCAAGUGUAACUGUGUAAGGCAAUCCUGUUUGAGGUCUGUCAAUCUGAGCUUGACCUUGGCUCUAUGAGCCCUUACUGGGUGGGGGUCUCAGGCAAGUCUGUGCCAUGCAUUUCCUCAUUGCACAUGGGGAUGACAAUGACUGUUUCCUGGGUAUGUGUGUGUUGGGUGGGGGGGGCGGUAGGUGUUGGGGGGCGGUAGGUGUGGGGAGGUGGUGGAGAUUCAGUGAGAUAAUUCUAGUGCAAUGCCUGCCUGGUACGAUGAUCAACGUGGGACCUACCCAUGACCACGUGAGGCUGUGAGCCACCCCUGAGCCCUUUUCCUUUUGGGGACCCACUGAGAGCCAUGCACAGAGGGAGAGGCUGCUGUCAUUUGUGGUAACCAGCAACAGUUGGUUGGAAAUUCCAGUCACUGGCCAAGGUCAGAUUGAAGGGAGCUCUUUAGAUUCCGGUUCUACCCCUUUUCCCUCACUAUAAGCCCUGUGUCUUCGGCUCUACUCUUUCUUCAUGCUGUGCCGAGAUCAUGCAAAAUUAUUAAACUAAAAUCAUUCAGCAGGAAAGGCAACACGAGCAAUCAUAGUUUGCUGCUGAGAAGCCAUGGCCUUCACUGAGGCUGGGCAGCAGGAGCUCAGUGUGGCUGGGAGGCUGGCUUGUUUCAGUGUUUUCCAGAGACAGAAAAUGCAAGCCCCUGCGGUCUCCUUUCCUCCAGCACAGCCUCGAGCCCUACAAGCUAAGUGGUCAGGUAGUCUGGUCUCACUUUGGCAGCAGGUCUUGCUGGGGGUCUUCAACCAGGAUGCCAGCACUCUCUGAGCCCCAGGUUCACCAGGCUGAAGUUGCUGGUAUGAGCAAAGGAGUUUGGAGCUCACACCCAUGGUUCCUG